Molecule: ribosomal RNA, 497 nt
Filed under: uncultured bacterium
Lineage: Bacteria
Description: partial 16S ribosomal RNA
Rfam family: Bacterial small subunit ribosomal RNA
Source: RNAcentral
GACGAACGCUGGCGGCGUGCCUAAUACAUGCAAGUUGAGCGCUGAAGGUUGGUACUUGUACCAACUGGAUGAGCAGCGAACGGGUGAGUAACGCGUGGGGAAUCUGCCUUUGAGCGGGGGACAACAUUUGGAGACGAAUGCUAAUACCGCAUAAAAACUUUAAACACAAGUUUUAAGUUUGAAAGAUGCAAUUGCAUCACUCAAAGAUGAUCCCGCGUUGUAUUAGCUAGUUGGUGAGGUAAAGGCUCACCAAGGCGAUGAUACAUAGCCGACCUGAGAGGGUGAUCGGCCACAUUGGGACUGAGACACGGCCCAAACUCCUACGGGAGGCAGCAGUAGGGAAUCUUCGGCAAUGGACGAAAGUCUGACCGAGCAACGCCGCGUGAGUGAAGAAGGUUUUCGGAUCGUAAAACUCUGUUGGUAGAGAAGAACGUUUGUGAGAGUGGAAAGCUCAUCAAGUGACGGUAACUACCCAGAAAGGGACGGCUAACUACGUG